AACGAACGCUGGCGGCAUGCCUAACACAUGCAAGUCGAACGAGACCUUCGGGUCUAGUGGCGCACGGGUGCGUAACGCGUGGGAACCUGCCCUUAGGUUCGGAAUAACUCCCCGAAAGGGGUGCUAAUACCGGAUAAUGUCUUCGGACCAAAGAUUUAUCGCCUUUGGAUGGGCCCGCGUUGGAUUAGCUAGUUGGUAGGGUAAAAGCCUACCAAGGCGACGAUCCAUAGCUGGUCUGAGAGGAUGAUCAGCCACACUGGGACUGAGACACGGCCCAGACUCCUACGGGAGGCAGCAGAGGGGAAUAUUGGACAAUGGGCGAAAGCCUGAUCCAGCAAUGCCGCGUGAGUGAUGAAGGCCUUAGGGUUGUAAAGCUCUUUUACCCGGGAUAAUAAUGACAGUACCGGGAGAAUAAGCUCCGGCUAACUCCGUG
This 433-nucleotide ribosomal RNA is filed under the name uncultured bacterium. Its description in RNAcentral is "partial 16S ribosomal RNA". It matches the Rfam family "Bacterial small subunit ribosomal RNA", at positions 29 to 507 of the family's 1533-position model. The record is from RNAcentral.